This 378-nucleotide unclassified non-coding RNA is filed under the name plant metagenome. RNAcentral describes it as "partial contains 5.8S ribosomal RNA, internal transcribed spacer 2, and large subunit ribosomal RNA". The stretch from base 1 to 105 matches the Rfam family "5.8S ribosomal RNA", at positions 50 to 154 of the family's 154-position model. The record is from RNAcentral.
GAAAUGCGAUAAGUAAUGUGAAUUGCAGAAUUCAGUGAAUCAUCGAAUCUUUGAACGCACCUUGCGCUCCUUGGUAUUCCUUGGAGCAUGCCUGUUUGAGUAUCAUGAAAUCUUCAAAGUAAAUCUUUUGUUAACUCAAUUGGUUUCUACUUUGGUAUUGGAGGUCUUUGCAGCUUCACACCUGCUCCUCUUUGUUCAUUAGCUGGAUCUCAGUGUUAUGCUUGGUUCCACUCGGCGUGAUAAGUUAUCUAUCGCUGAGGACACUGUAAAAGGUGGCCAAGGUAAAUGCAGAUGAACCGCUUCUAAUAGUCCAUUGACUUGGACAAUACUUUUAUGAUGUGAUCUCAAAUCAGGUAGGACUACCCGCUGAACUUAAGC